CAAAGGAGUGAUCCGGCAGAGGAUGGACAUGCGGCGCAUUAGCUAGUCGGCGGGGUAACGGCCCACCGAGGCUACGAUGCGUAGGGGUUCUGAGAGGAAGGUCCCCCACACUGGUACUGAGACACGGACCAGACUCCUACGGGAGGCAGCAGUGAGGAAUAUUGGUCAAUGGGCGGAAGCCUGAACCGGCCAAGUCGCGUGAGGGAAGACGGUCCUAUGGAUUGUAAACCUCUUUUGCAGGGGAGCAAGGCGCGGUACGUGUACCGCGAAGGAGAGUACCCUGAGAAAAAGCAUCGGCUAACUCCGUGCCAGCAGCCGCGGUAAUACGGAGGAUGCGAGCGUUAUCCGGAUUUAUUGGGUUUAAAGGGUGCGCAGGCGGACUGUUAAGUCAGCGGUAAAAUGUCGGUGCUCAACACCGGCCGGCCGUUGAAACUGGCAGCCUUGAGUGAGCGAGAAGUAUGCGGAAUGCGUGGUGUAGCGGUGAAAUGCAUAGAUAUCACGCAGAACUCCGAUUGCGAAGGCAGCAUACCGGCGCUCAACUGACGCUCAGGCACGGAAGCGUGGGUAUCGAACAGGAUUAGAUACCCUGGUAGUCCACGCAGUAAACGAUGAAUGCU
RNAcentral lists this ribosomal RNA (617 nucleotides) under uncultured bacterium. RNAcentral describes it as "bacterial SSU rRNA". It matches the Rfam family "Bacterial small subunit ribosomal RNA", at positions 202 to 817 of the family's 1533-position model. The record is from RNAcentral.